GGGCUGGAAUCUCUCGGGGUUACAGCCUUGCUGAAUUAUUCACCCUUGUCUUUUGCGUACUUCUUGUUUCCUUGGUGGGUUCGCCCACCACUAGGACAAACAUAAACCUUUUGUAAUUGCAAUCAGCGUCAGUAACAAAUUAAUAAUUACAACUUUCAACAACGGAUCUCUUGGUUCUGGCAUCGAUGAAGAACGCAGCGAAAUGCGAUAAGUAGUGUGAAUUGCAGAAUUCAGUGAAUCAUCGAAUCUUUGAACGCACAUUGCGCCCUUUGGUAUUCCAAAGGGCAUGCCUGUUCGAGCGUCAUUUGUACCCUCAAGCUUUGCUUGGUGUUGGGCGUCUUGUCUCUAGCUUUGCUGGAGACUCGCCUUAAAGUAAUUGGCAGCCGGCCUACUGGUUUCGGAGCGCAGCACAAGUCGCACUCUCUAUCAGCAAAGGUCUAGCAUCCAUUAAGCCUUUUUUCAACUUUUGACCUCGGAUCAGGUAGGGAUACCCGCUGAACUUAAGCAU
Molecule: ribosomal RNA, 508 nt
Filed under: Alternaria porri
Lineage: Eukaryota; Fungi; Ascomycota; Dothideomycetes; Pleosporales; Pleosporaceae
Description: eukaryotic LSU rRNA
Rfam family: 5.8S ribosomal RNA (bases 151-304)
Source: RNAcentral